This 497-nucleotide ribosomal RNA is filed under the name uncultured bacterium. RNAcentral describes it as "partial 16S ribosomal RNA". It matches the Rfam family "Bacterial small subunit ribosomal RNA", at positions 28 to 507 of the family's 1533-position model. The record is from RNAcentral.
GAUGAACGCUGGCGGCGUGCCUAAUACAUGCAAGUCGAGCGAACAGACGAGGAGCUUGCUCCUCUUACGUUAGCGGCGGACGGGUGAGUAACACGUGGAUAACCUACCUAUAAGACUGGGAUAACUUCGGGAAACCGGAGCUAAUACCGGAUAAUAUAUUUAACCGCAGGGUUCAAUAGUGAAAGACGGUUUUGCUGUCACUUAUAGAUGGAUCCGCGCCGCAUUAGCUAGUUGGUAAGGUAACGGCUUACCAAGGCAACGAUGCGUAGCCGACCUGAGAGGGUGACCGGCCACACUGGAACUGAGAAACGGUCCAGACUCCUACGGGAGGCAGAAGUAGGGAAUCUUCCGCAAUGGGCGAAAGCCUGCCGGAGCAACGCCGCGUGAGUGAUGAAGGUCUUCGGAUCGUAAACCUCUGUUAUUAGGGAAGAACAAAUGUGUAAGUAACUAUGCACGUCUUGACGGUACCUAAUCAGAAAGCCACGGCUAACUACGUG